Non-coding RNA from Paenibacillus sp. JCM 10914, 112 nucleotides. The record is from Rfam. NCBI's taxonomy places the organism in Bacteria, Bacillati, Bacillota, Bacilli, Caryophanales, Paenibacillaceae.
AGGUAAUGUCUAUACGACCUAUAUCAGAGUAGACACUCGGUCAUGCUGUGGGUAUCUGAUACCUUAGACGUACAUCGUCAAGAGUGUGAUGUGAGGUUGGGUUAGAUGCCCA